RNAcentral lists this ribosomal RNA (440 nucleotides) under uncultured bacterium. Its description in RNAcentral is "partial 16S ribosomal RNA". It matches the Rfam family "Bacterial small subunit ribosomal RNA", at positions 338 to 795 of the family's 1533-position model. The record is from RNAcentral.
CCUACGGGGGGCAGCAGUGGGGGAUAUUGCACAAUGGGGGAAACCCUGAUGCAGCGACGCCGCGUGGGUGAAGAAGGGCCUCGGCGCGUAAAGCCCUGUCAGCAGGGAAGAAAAUGACGGUACCUGAAGAAGAAGCCCCGGCUAACUACGUGCCAGCAGCCGCGGUAAUACGUAGGGGGCAAGCGGUAUCCGGAUUUACUGGGUGUAAAGGGGGCGCAGACGGCGAUGCAAGCCAGGAGUGAAAGCCCGGGGCCCAACCCCGGGACUGCUCGUGGAACUGCGGGGCUAGAGUGCAGGAGGGGCAGGCGGAAUUCCUGGUGUAGCGGUGAAAUGCGUAGAUAUCAGGAGGAACACCGGUGGCGAAGGCGGCCUGCUGGACUGCAACUGACGUUGAGGCCCGAAAGCGUGGGGAGCAAACAGGAUUAGAUACCCGUGUAGUC